Molecule: transfer RNA, 77 nt
Rfam family: tRNA
About the family: Transfer RNA (tRNA) molecules are approximately 80 nucleotides in length.
ACUUGGGUAGCUCAAUAGGAUAGAGCAUCUGACUCAACAUCAGACGGUUGCAGGUUCGAGUCCUGUCCCAAGUACCA